GGAGAGGUGGCAGAGCGGACGAAUGCGGCGGUCUCGAAAACCGUUACGCCGGUAGCCCCGGCGUCGGGGGUUCGAAUCCCCCCCUCUCCGC
This 91-nucleotide transfer RNA is filed under the name Rubrobacter xylanophilus. RNAcentral describes it as "tRNA-Ser". It matches the Rfam family "tRNA". From Rfam's summary of the family: Transfer RNA (tRNA) molecules are approximately 80 nucleotides in length. Their secondary structure includes four short double-helical elements and three loops (D, anti-codon, and T loops). The record is from RNAcentral. Lineage: Bacteria; Bacillati; Actinomycetota; Rubrobacteria; Rubrobacterales; Rubrobacteraceae.